UCUACAGGAUGCUGCCCUAUCUUGUCAUA
Molecule: non-coding RNA, 29 nt
Filed under: Rattus norvegicus (Norway rat)
Lineage: Eukaryota; Metazoa; Chordata; Mammalia; Rodentia; Muridae
Source: RNAcentral